RNAcentral lists this ribosomal RNA (229 nucleotides) under uncultured bacterium. RNAcentral's name for it is "partial 16S ribosomal RNA". It matches the Rfam family "Bacterial small subunit ribosomal RNA", at positions 568 to 796 of the family's 1533-position model. The record is from RNAcentral.
UCCGUAGGCGGGCGUCUAAGUCAGUGGUGAAAUCUUACAGCUCAACUGUAAAAUUGCCAUUGAUACUGGAUGUCUUGAAUUAGUGUGAAGUGGUUAGAAUGUGUAGUGUAGCGGUGAAAUGCAUAGAUAUUACACAGAAUACCAACUGCGAAGGCAGAUCACUAACACUAUAUUGACGCUGAGGGACGAAAGCGUGGGGAGCGAACAGGAUUAGAUACCCUGGUAGUCC